UGGGGAAUUUUGGACAAUGGGCGAAAGCCUGAUCCAGCAAUGCCGCGUGUGUGAAGAAGGCCUUCGGGUUGUAAAGCACUUUUGUCCGGAAAGAAAUCCUUGGCUCUAAUACAGUCGGGGGAUGACGGUACCGGAAGAAUAAGCACCGGCUAACUACGUGCCAGCAGCCGCGGUAAUACGUAGGGUGCAAGCGUUAAUCGGAAUUACUGGGCGUAAAGCGUGCGCAGGCGGUUUGCUAAGACCGAUGUGAAAUCCCCGGGCUCAACCUGGGAACUGCAUUGGUGACUGGCAGGCUAGAGUAUGGCAGAGGGGGGUAGAAUUCCACGUGUAGCAGUGAAAUGCGUAGAGAUGUGGAGGAAUACCGAUGGUGAAGGCAGCCCCCUGGGCCAAUACUGACGCUCAUGCACGAAAGCGUGGGGAGCAAACAGGAUUAGAUACCCUGGUAGUCCACGCCCUAAACGAUGUCAACUAGUUGUUGGGGAUUCAUUUCCUUAGUAACGUAGCUAACGCGUGAAGUUGACCGCCUGGGGAGUACGGUCGCAAGAUUAAAACUCAAAGGAAUUGACGGGGUCAUAGCUGUUU
RNAcentral lists this ribosomal RNA (582 nucleotides) under uncultured bacterium. Its description in RNAcentral is "partial 16S ribosomal RNA". It matches the Rfam family "Bacterial small subunit ribosomal RNA", at positions 355 to 935 of the family's 1533-position model. The record is from RNAcentral.